CGCGGCCUAUCAGCUUGUUGGUGGGGUAAUGGCCUACCAAGGCGACGACAGGUAGCCGGCCUGAGAGGGCGACCGGCCACACUGGGACUGAGACACGGCCCAGACUCCUACGGGAGGCAGCAGUGGGGAAUAUUGCACAAUGGGCGAAAGCCUGAUGCAGCGACGCCGCGUGAGGGAUGACGGCCUUCGGGUUGUAAACCUCUUUCAGCAGGGACGAAGCGUAAGUGACGGUACCUGCAGAAGAAGCGCCGGCCGACUACGUGCCAGCAGCCGCGGUAAGACGUAGGGCGCGAGCGUUGUCCGGAUUUAUUGGGCGUAAAGAGCUCGUAGGCGGCUUGUCGCGUCGACUGUGAAAACCCGCAGCUCAACUGCGGGCCUGCAGUCGAUACGGGCAGGCUAGAGUUCGGUAGGGGAGACUGGAAUUCCUGGUGUAGCGGUGGAAUGCGCAGAUAUCAGGAGGAACACCGGUGGCGAAGGCGGGUCUCUGGGCCGAUACUGACGCUGAGGAGCGAAAGCGUGGGGAGCGAACAGGAUUAGAUACCCUGGUAGUCCGCGCUGUAAACGUUGGGCGCUAGGUGUGGGGGACCUCUCCGGUUCUCUGUGCCGCAGCUAACGCAUUAAGCGCCCCGCCUGGGGAGUACGG
Molecule: ribosomal RNA, 643 nt
Filed under: uncultured bacterium
Lineage: Bacteria
Description: bacterial SSU rRNA
Rfam family: Bacterial small subunit ribosomal RNA
Source: RNAcentral